Molecule: transfer RNA, 72 nt
Filed under: Capra hircus (goat)
Lineage: Eukaryota; Metazoa; Chordata; Mammalia; Artiodactyla; Bovidae
Also listed under: 2 other names
Rfam family: tRNA
About the family: Transfer RNA (tRNA) molecules are approximately 80 nucleotides in length. Their secondary structure includes four short double-helical elements and three loops (D, anti-codon, and T loops).
Source: Rfam by way of RNAcentral
UCCCUCAUAGCUCAGUUGGUAAAGAAUCUGCCUGCAAUGCAGGGGACCCAAGUUCGAUUCCUGGGUUGGGAA